Molecule: ribosomal RNA, 387 nt
Filed under: uncultured bacterium
Lineage: Bacteria
Description: bacterial SSU rRNA
Rfam family: Bacterial small subunit ribosomal RNA
Source: RNAcentral
GACGAACGCUGGCGGCGUGCUUAACACAUGCAAGUCGAGCGGUAAGGCCCUUUCGGGGGUACACGAGCGGCGAACGGGUGAGUAACACGUGGGUGACCUGCCCUCAGCUCUGGGAUAAGCCUGGGAAACUGGGUCUAAUACUGGAUAUGACUCCACGGUGCAUGUCGUGGGGUGGAAAGCCUUGUGCGGCUGAGGAUGGGCCCGCGGCCUAUCAGCUUGUUGGGGGGUGAUGGCCUACCAAGGUGACGACGGGUAGCCGGCCUGAGAGGGCGACCGGCCACACUGGGACUGAGACACGGCCCAGACUCCUACGGGAGGCAGCAGUGGGGAAUCUUGCGCAAUGGGCGAAAGCCUGACGCAGCGACGCCGCGUGAGGGAUGACGGCCU